UUUGUAGCAAAUUUUUACAAUUCUUUGGUUUAAAUGACUUUGUGAGGGUUACCUAUACCGGAGUUGCCUUUUUGCUUUCUUUUAUUUUUUUGUUUUACUGGAUCAUUCACUUAUUUGCAUCGGUCCCCUACAUAGAGGAUGCGUAGGCCGGAGCUGACUGCUGAGAUAAACUACUGAGGACUUAUACGGAAAUGAUGAUUAAGGCCAUGAUAUAUGGGGUUUCGGGAGUGGUUCCUAUAUUUACGAAGUCUAUGGUGCUAAAAUAAUAAUGAUGUUUCGCAAAGUUCUCCCAAGUCACCGCAUCCUUACUCAAAACAUGUCUUUAAAACCUGAAAACUUUCGGAAUAAC
This 349-nucleotide long non-coding RNA is filed under the name Lathyrus oleraceus (garden pea). RNAcentral describes it as "Pisum sativum (pea) long non-coding RNA (PSAT_LNC006932)". The record is from RNAcentral. Lineage: Eukaryota; Viridiplantae; Streptophyta; Magnoliopsida; Fabales; Fabaceae.